Molecule: long non-coding RNA, 384 nt
Filed under: Cricetulus griseus (Chinese hamster)
Lineage: Eukaryota; Metazoa; Chordata; Mammalia; Rodentia; Cricetidae
Description: lncRNA (ENSCGRG00000026017.1)
Source: RNAcentral
CCUUUUCUGCAGAGCUUACCCCUUCACCCUGCCUUUGCAUUCUCACUGAAGUCACCACGGAGCUUGCUCUUCCUCAGGACUCCAUCCCCCGUGCUGAGAGUGAACGUAGAGGUUGGAGCAUGUUGACCAGGGCAGGGGCAAGGCUUGCUACAAGCGAAGACAAGGGAAGUAUAUAAGACAGAAGCAAGGUCUCAGAGAGACAUUCUUUCUCCAGUCAUGCUGAGGAAAGGUUACAGUCUGAGGCUCAUGAAGACAGGACCAGCCCAUCCAGCCUGAGGUAGAGGUAAGAAGCUAGUGGCCAGCUGCUUUGCUUUUCUGAUCUUCAGCUUGAAGCUUGAGCCCCCGGUAUCAGUCUCUGUGUCUUUUGUUUUUUCGUGUGACAUA